CUAACUGCUUCCCCUGCGGCCUGCCGGUGCCGGCCUUUCCACUGUGACACUGUCCACAUUCGCAGUCAGUCACACCGAGCUACAGUAAGCAACCAUAGUUUGACACACCGUACCCCUCGGACUACUCCAGUCGGCGUCCUGUGCAGGAAUCAUUUAUACGGAGGAUACUACACACGAAACACUGGAUACCCCGCCAUGAGUGAUGACUCGAAUGAAGUAAUUUUUUACCACUAUACCUCGAAGAAAUAUAAAGAUGAUAUUCUGGUUUCCGGUGUCAUCAAGCCAAGCACACGUUGUGGUUGCGGAAAAGAUGAUGCUAUGUAUGGAGAUGGUAAGCAGAUCACACGUCGUGGUCGCGGAAAAGAUGAUGCUAUGUAUGGAGAUGGUGUUUACGGCACGAGCUUGGAUCCCAAUAAGUUCUCCAAGGAAGAGCUGUUGAUGAACAAUUACGACUCGCGCACUGGAGUUAGGUCUCACUUGCAAAAGGAAAAAGUAGACGUUGCCUUCAAGCUCUACCUUCCAAAGGAUAGUGUGAAAGAAAUCGAGGCCGUCGGCCGCGAUAUCUUGAUCCAUCACGGAGACAUUAAUCUUGAUAAUGUUCGGUAUGAAGUUAUCCCCGUACCAUCGGGUAACUGAGGAAUGUAUCUUUAUUCUCGAAGAGGUCGUUGAGUAUCUGAUAACGUGCAAGCGUAAGGUCAGGGGUUAUGGAGUUCAUGUGCCUUAGCAAAUGGUUUAAAUUUUUUCAGUUUUUUCUGAAAGUCAUCAAAUUAAUAAUUUGAAUAGUGAAUGAAAGUAAUCAAGAUUUUAAUUUGUCUGCAUCUGUAACCUUAGUCAUUCAAUACAAAGUGUAGUAAUUUGCAAAAUAGUUUUUCCCUUGUAUCUGUAAAACUAAGAAGUACAAAGUUUAGUUUAAUGUUAUAGGUUUAUUUUCUCUUCUAUCUGUAAGACUAAAGUCAUCAUUAUAAAUUGUGGUAAUUUGAAAAUGAAAAUAGUUUUUCCUUGCAUCUGUGAAACUUGACACAAAGUAUGUAGUUUCAUGUCAUUAGAGUUCAUGUUCCCUUGUAUCUGUUAGACUUGAAAGUCAUUCAUUAUAAAGAUUAAUUUGUAAAUUAAUCUAAAUGAAUGAAAGUAAGUUUUUCCCCCUACAACUGUAGAAAUCAGAAGUCACUAGUGUGUUGUAGAUUAUUUUGACAGUUGGUUCCCUAGUAUCUUGAAUGACUUGAAAGUCACUAAUUAUAUAGGUUAAUAUGCACAUGAAAGGAAGUUUUUUUCCUUGUAUCUUUGUGACUGAAGUCACUAAUAAAUUGGAAAUAAAAAUU
Molecule: long non-coding RNA, 1319 nt
Organism: Macrobrachium nipponense
Lineage: Eukaryota; Metazoa; Arthropoda; Malacostraca; Decapoda; Palaemonidae
Exons: 3
Source: RefSeq, a predicted model, not a curated record